This 515-nucleotide long non-coding RNA is filed under the name Astyanax mexicanus (Mexican tetra). RNAcentral's name for it is "lncRNA (ENSAMXG00005024181.1)". Lineage: Eukaryota; Metazoa; Chordata; Actinopteri; Characiformes; Acestrorhamphidae. The record is from RNAcentral.
CAAUUGAAUGGAGACAAGAUAAUGUCAAUACAAGCCAAAGUUGAAAUCCAGGUACCAAUGACUCAGCAGACCAAGGACAAAUCCCAGAAAAUGAAUAGCCUCGGUUUCAUCGUUUGAUUGAAGCUUAUCUCAGUUACAAGGAUAAUGCUCACCCACAUCCCACAGCAUGGGUUUCCCAAGGAUGUUUCAACACUUCCCAACUGCCCAGUUGCCAGAUUUGUCUCCAAUCAAGUUAAAUCCGAGACCAGCUCGGAUGCAACCUUCAGAAACCUCUAAGAGAGCAGGAUCUACAUGCCCAGCUGCAAUAUAUAAGGAGGCGCGAGCGCGAGUUCAGCAGUGAGGCGGGAAACAGCGGCGGCAGCAGCAGCAGGACGAGCGGAGCUCUCAUAACUUCAUCAUGGAUGGAUUAAGGGCAGCGUGCUGAGUCUCCGUUUGGCUGUUUUUAUUAACCCAGGUAAGAGAACGCGGUUUACACGCUAAGGGUUUAUCUUCACUGUCAUCUUCAGCAGACAGAC